RNAcentral lists this ribosomal RNA (449 nucleotides) under uncultured bacterium. RNAcentral's name for it is "partial 16S ribosomal RNA". It matches the Rfam family "Bacterial small subunit ribosomal RNA", at positions 29 to 523 of the family's 1533-position model. The record is from RNAcentral.
AACGAACGCUGGCGGCAUGCCUAACACAUGCAAGUCGAACGAUAUCUUCGGAUCUAGUGGCGCACGGGUGCGUAACGCGUGGGAAUCUGCCCUUGGGUUCGGAAUAACUCAGAGAAAUUUGAGCUAAUACCGGAUGAUGACGUAAGUCCAAAGAUUUAUCGCCCAAGGAUGAGCCCGCGUAGGAUUAGCUAGUUGGUGAGGUAAAGGCUCACCAAGGCGACGAUCCUUAGCUGGUCUGAGAGGAUGAUCAGCCACACUGGGACUGAGACACGGCCCAGACUCCUACGGGAGGCAGCAGUGGGGAAUAUUGGACAAUGGGCGAAAGCCUGAUCCAGCAAUGCCGCGUGAGUGAUGAAGGCCUUAGGGUUGUAAAGCUCUUUUACCCGGGAUGAUAAUGACAGUACCGGGAGAAUAAGCUCCGGCUAACUCCGUGCCAGCCGCCGCGGUAA